UCUCAGUUCGGACUGUAGGCUGCAACUCGCCUACACGAAGUCGGAAUCGCUAGUAAUCGCGGAUCAGCAUGCCGGCGGUGAAUACGUUCCCGGGCCUUGUACACACCGCCCGUCACACCAUGGGGAGUUUGUAACGCCCAAAGUCGGUGGCCUAACCUUUAUGGAGGGGAGCCGCCUAAGGCGGGACAGAUGACUGGGGUGAAGUCGUAACAAGGUAAC
RNAcentral lists this ribosomal RNA (219 nucleotides) under uncultured bacterium. RNAcentral's name for it is "partial 16S ribosomal RNA". It matches the Rfam family "Bacterial small subunit ribosomal RNA", at positions 1286 to 1500 of the family's 1533-position model. The record is from RNAcentral.